This is a non-coding RNA of Macaca mulatta (Rhesus monkey), 1804 nucleotides long. Lineage: Eukaryota; Metazoa; Chordata; Mammalia; Primates; Cercopithecidae. The record is from RefSeq and is a predicted model, not a curated record.
AUGGAUCAUCUUUUAAUGCAAAUGUUACCACAUGACCCUCUUUAAUUCUAUCCCUUCCUCCCCAGCUGACCUCAUGGGUAAGAUCCAAAUGUCCUAACAAGGCAUUUCAGGUUUUUUGUAACUUGGUUCCAGAGAACAUAAAAAAUCACCCAAAGACCUAGAGCUCUUUAACACCAAGGCAGACACUGGAGUAAAAGCGCAGCAUCAAAGGCAGGAGGGGAGCAGGCCGACAGCUGCUCACCCAGCCUGGUCCUUCCAGGGUGCCCCGUUAGCCCCUGCUGCAGAGGGGACGUGAGACAGGGAAGGACAGGACAUGCGGACUCUGCUCACCCAGGCUAACCUGCAUCCCCUGCCCCUCCCUGAGCCCAGGGCUCACUGUGAAGUCACCAGCCCUACUCUGCCCUGCAUUGUGACGCCCCUGCCAGAAACCACUGUGGCUGGCAUGUUAUCAGCUCUGGCUGGAGGCAAAGGUUGGGCAAUUUUGGACUGAAAUGACAAGAUGUUCCAGCUUCUAAUUCCCCUGCUUUUGGCACUCAAGGGACAUGCCCAGGACGAUCCAGAAAACGUUCAAUGUGGCUACAGGCCUGCUUUUCCAAACUCGUCAUGGUUACCAUUUCAUGAACGGCUUCAAGUCCAGAAUGGUGAGUUUCCGUGGCAAGUGAGUAUCCAGAUGUCUCGGAAACACCUCUGUGGAGGCUCAAUCAUACAUCAGUGGUGGGUUCUGACGGCCGCACAUUGCUUCCCAAGAACCCUAUUAGACAUGGCCGUGGUAAAUGUCACUGUGGUAAUGGGAACGAGAACAUUCAGCAACAUCCACUCAGAGAGAAAGCAAGUGCAGAAGGUCAUUAUUCACAAAGAUUACAAACCGCCCCAGCUCGACAGUGACCUCUCUCUGCUUCUACUUGCCACACCAGUGCAAUUCAGCAAUUUCAAAAUGCCUGUCUGCCUGCAGGAGGAGGAGAGGACCUGGGACCGGUGUUGGAUGGCAGAGUGGGUAAUGACAAAUGGGUAUGACCAAUAUGAUGACCUAAACAUGCACCUGGAAAAGCUGAGAGUGGUGCAGAUUAGCCAGAAAGAAUGUGCCAAGAGGGUAAACCAGCUCUCCAGGAACAUGAUUUGUGCUUGGAAGGAACCAGGCACCAAUGGUAUCUGCAAGAGUAGAAUCGUGUUUCCUUCUGGAGCCCUUCCUAAUUGAUAUGCUUAGGGCCAUCUUCCUUAACACCCCAGACCUGCUGGUUUCGGAGCCAUCGACCUCCUCAUUUCCACCGCAGAAGGCUAGAGGGAGAUUCGGAAAAUCAGGGCAGGGCCCAGGAGAAGGUUCUUUCAGAGCACAGCUUCAGCCUGGUUACUUCUGGCACCAGCCAGGAGGAACAGACUUUUUCCCACACAGCAGUUACCACCAGAAGUACCUGAACAAGAUCACCCUCAGCUCCUGCAGCCUCAGGGCACCCAAGUGUCCUGUCCACUGGGCAUUAGUUACGGGCAAAGAUUUGUGUAGCCCUUCACUUUGCACGCUGAAGCUCUAACCCUGGCUGCAACUGGAGAGGGGGCCGCCAAGGAAGUCAUUAAGGUUAACUGAGAUAUGGGGUGGGGCCCUGGUCAAUAGGAUGGUGUCCUUAUGAGGACACUUAUAAGAUGGACGCCCACUUGCCCCCCUGACUCCUCUGGCACAGGAACUGAGGAAGAGUCACAAGAGGACACAGCAGAUGCUGGUCACCUGCAGGCUAGGAAGAAAGCCCUCCCCAGGAACCUGGGUCUUGGAUUUCCAGCCUCCGCUGUGGAAAAUAAAUGUGUGUUGAUCAAU